RNAcentral lists this ribosomal RNA (852 nucleotides) under Nonomuraea coxensis. RNAcentral's name for it is "bacterial SSU rRNA". It matches the Rfam family "Bacterial small subunit ribosomal RNA", at positions 50 to 927 of the family's 1533-position model. The record is from RNAcentral. Lineage: Bacteria; Bacillati; Actinomycetota; Actinomycetes; Streptosporangiales; Streptosporangiaceae.
UACACAUGCAGUCGAGCGGAAGGCCCUUCGGGGUACUCGAGCGGCGAACGGGUGAGUAACACGUGAGCAACCUGCCCCUGACUCUGGGAUAAGCCCGGGAAACUGGGUCUAAUACCGGAUAUGACCGCCUCCGGCAUCGGAUGGUGGUGGAAAGUUUUUCGGUUGGGGAUGGGCUCGCGGCCUAUCAGCUUGUUGGUGGGGUAGUGGCCUACCAAGGCGACGACGGGUAGCCGGCCUGAGAGGGCGACCGGCCACACUGGGACUGAGACACGGCCCAGACUCCUACGGGAGGCAGCAGUGGGGAAUAUUGCGCAAUGGGCGGAAGCCUGACGCAGCGACGCCGCGUGGGGGAUGACGGCCUUCGGGUUGUAAACCUCUUUCAGCAGGGACGAAGUUGACGUGUACCUGCAGAAGAAGCGCCGGCUAACUACGUGCCAGCAGCCGCGGUAAUACGUAGGGCGCAAGCGUUGUCCGGAAUUAUUGGGCGUAAAGAGCUCGUAGGUGGCUGGUCGCGUCUGCCGUGAAAGCCCGCAGCUUAACUGCGGGUCUGCGGUGGAUACGGGCCGGCUAGAGGUAGGUAGGGGCAAGUGGAAUUCCUGGUGUAGCGGUGAAAUGCGCAGAUAUCAGAGGAACACCGGUGGCGAAAGCGGCUUGCUGGGCCUUACCUGACGCUGAGGAGCGAAAGCGUGGGGAGCGAACAGGAUUAGAUACCCUGGUAGUCCACGCUGUAAACGUUGGGCGCUAGGUGUGGGACCCUUCCACGGGUUCCGUGCCGGAGCUAACGCAUUAAGCGCCCCGCCUGGGAGUACGGCCGCAAGGCUAAAACUCAAAGAAUUGACGGGGGCCCGCACA